This 72-nucleotide transfer RNA is filed under the name Marmota monax (woodchuck). RNAcentral's name for it is "tRNA.Undet". The record is from RNAcentral. Lineage: Eukaryota; Metazoa; Chordata; Mammalia; Rodentia; Sciuridae.
GUAAGGGUUAGCUCAGUGGUAGAGCUCUUGCCUAGCAUGUGGCCAGCCCUGGGUUCAAUCCCCAGCACUACA